CCUGCAGUUCCACACUCAAGGAUCUUAAUAAUGCUUUAAAAUACACAUGUAUGAUUGUGCAUGUGUAAUGGGUUGAAAACAAAGUCACUAAAAACAGACACACAUUUAUUAUUUAUCCCCCCAUUUGUUUAAGUAUUUGUCUUAAUGAAUCUAAAAUGUAUUUUCUACAUACUUUAGCGUUAGCAGUCCAUCAGGCCAAUAGAUGGCGCUUUUGCACUGUUGUAGCAGGAGAAACAGCAAGUUCUGGCCAAGAGCUCACCAUUCUGCAGAAUAAGGACCAGAACUUUACAGAGGUAAACUGUCUCUGUUCUUUUACUAUUACAGCAGUUCAUUGAGGCCCUGUCGUUCACCUCCUUCACCAAAGCUCUGUCAGGGACCUACAUGAAGAGUGCCAUCACUCACUAACUUUGACCUGUCCAGCUCUCUCAUCGGACUCAUAGACGGCAGCUUUGAGAUGGGUUUCAACAAUAACAUUGAGUUGCUUGAGAAUUCAUGUAGUUAAAACCAGAUACAGACUACAGUAUGAUCCAUUUUUUUUAGUGGUUCAAUCAGAGUCUGCUCUCAAUACUGUCCAGUUUUAUAGUUGUUCCUAUUAAUUGAUUGACUGGUGUUUGUCCAUGACUCUACUGUCAAACCUCUCACAUGGUUUUAUUUCAUGUUGUGUUGAUGCAACCUAGUAUCCAAACUGAUAGGCCAUUUUUAGUUGAAAAGAAACAGUGUCAUUUGUGAUUCCUGACUACUGUAGUGUUGUGGUUUCUUGCAGGUAACCUGCUGUUCCUGACUGUGGUCAGCCAUUUUGGGGCGAAGCUGCACCGGCCCAGGCUCAUUGCUGUGGACUGUUUCCUCAUGGCUGUAGGAUCCUUCCUCACAGGCCUGCCACACUUCUUCAUGGGACGGGCUAUCAGGAGAGCUACCCAGUCCCAGAGGGCCAUCGUGGCUUCAUCAGUGAUGCCAGACUUCUGCAGAUGCAGAGAGCUGAGAGAGAGGCCAUGGAAGCAAAGCAAAGAAAGAUAAGUGCUAUCCAUGAGAAUUAUGUCCGGACUGCUCUCAUCGGGGUUGGCAGCA
Long non-coding RNA from Oncorhynchus tshawytscha (Chinook salmon), 1065 nucleotides. RefSeq lists it as uncharacterized. The transcript is spliced from 3 exons. The record is from RefSeq and is a predicted model, not a curated record. Lineage: Eukaryota; Metazoa; Chordata; Actinopteri; Salmoniformes; Salmonidae.